CCUACGGGUGGCAGCAGUGGGGAAUAUUGGACAAUGGACGCAAGUCUGAUCCAGCAAUGCCGCGUGAGUGAUGAAGGCCUUCGGGUCGUAAAGCUCUGUCCUAAGGGAAGAAUACUGACGGUACCUGACUAAGAAGCCCCGGCUAACUACGUGCCAGCAGCCGCGGUAAUACGUAGGGGGCAAGCGUUAUCCGGAAUCACUGGGUGUAAAGGGUGCGUAGGCGGUAGGGCAAGUCAGAUGUGAAAGCCCGGGGCUCAACCCCGGGAUUGCAUUUGAAACUGUCUUACUAGAGUGCAGGAGAGGAAAGCGGAAUUCCUAGUGUAGCGGUGAAAUGCGUAGAUAUUAGGAAGAACACCAGUGGCGAAGGCGGCUUUCUGGACUGUAACUGACGCUGAGGCACGAAAGCGUGGGGAGCGAACAGGAUUAGAUACCCUUGUAGUC
RNAcentral lists this ribosomal RNA (441 nucleotides) under uncultured bacterium. RNAcentral describes it as "bacterial SSU rRNA". It matches the Rfam family "Bacterial small subunit ribosomal RNA", at positions 338 to 795 of the family's 1533-position model. The record is from RNAcentral.